UUUUAUAAAUAAAAUAAUUAAGAUUAUUUAAUUUAAUAAAAUUAAGAUUAUAUUAUUUAUUUUGUUGGGGUGACAGAAAAAUAUAUUUAACUUUUUUUUUAUUUAAAACAUUUAUAAGUGGUUAAAUGAUCCAAUAUUAUUGAUUAUAAGAAAAAAUUACCUUAGGGAUAACAGCGUAAUUUUUUUUUUUAGUUCAAAUAAGAAAAAGAGUUUGCGACCUCGAUGUUGGAUUAAGAUAAAAUUUAAAUGCAGAAG
Molecule: ribosomal RNA, 255 nt
Filed under: Poeonoma serrata
Lineage: Eukaryota; Metazoa; Arthropoda; Insecta; Lepidoptera; Noctuidae
Description: partial 16S large subunit ribosomal RNA
Source: RNAcentral